Colwellia psychrerythraea 34H is the source of this 85-nucleotide non-coding RNA. The record is from Rfam. NCBI's taxonomy places the organism in Bacteria, Pseudomonadati, Pseudomonadota, Gammaproteobacteria, Alteromonadales, Colwelliaceae.
AAUUGAAAAGAGCAAAACUUUCGAAAGAAAGUGGCGCAAAGUCACCGGUCUACGGGAAUAAUUCUACGACAGCGGAACUGCCAAC